UACGGAGGGAGCUAGCGUUGUUCGGAAUUACUGGGCGUAAAGAGCGCGCAGGCGGUCGAUUUAGUCGCGUGUGAAAGCCCCCGGCUCAACUGGGGAGGGUCACGCGAUACUGAUCGACUCGAAGGCAGGAGAGGGUAGUGGAAUUCCCGGUGUAGUGGUGAAAUGCGUAGAUAUCGGGAGGAACACCAGUGGCGAAGGCGACUACCUGGCCUGUUCUUGACGCUGAGGCGCGAAAGCUAGGGGAGCAAACGGGG
This 254-nucleotide ribosomal RNA is filed under the name uncultured bacterium. RNAcentral describes it as "partial 16S ribosomal RNA". It matches the Rfam family "Bacterial small subunit ribosomal RNA", at positions 524 to 777 of the family's 1533-position model. The record is from RNAcentral.